UAUGUGAUCGUCUCUCGCAUAUCAAUAAGCGGAGGAAAAGAAACUAACAAGGAUUCCCCUAGUAACGGCGAGUGAAGCGGGAAGAGCUCAAAUUUGAAAUCUUAAAGGGUUUCCCUUUACGAAUUGUAGUUUAAAGAAGUGUUUUCUGUUGAGGUUUUGGUAAAAGUUCUUUGGAAUAGGACAUCAUAGAGGGUGAGAAUCCCGUAUUUGACCUUUACUUUCAACUUUGUGAUACACUUUCAAAGAGUCGGAUUGUUUGGGAAUGCAGUCCAAAAUGGGUGGUAAAUUUCAUCUAAAGCUAAAUAUUGGCGAGAGACCGAUAGCGAACAAGUACCGUGAGGGAAAGAUGAAAAGAACUUUGAAAAGAGAGUUAAACAGUACGUGAAAUUGUCAAAAGGGAAGCGUUUGACACCAGUGUUGUUUUUCUGAAAAUCAAUUAAAGAACUGUUUAUGCUAAGUUGUUUAGACUUUAUCAGCUAUCUGCUUAGUUUUGAGCUUUUCUUUAAUGCACUUUUCAGUUAACAAGUCAACAUCAAUUUCUUUUGCUGUAAAAAAGCUUGAGGAAGGUGGCUUGAGAUUCGUCUUAAGUGUUUAUAGCCUCUUGCCUAUGCAGUCGGAGAGAUUGAGGUCUGCAGCGUAGAUCCUUCGGGGCUAAAUGCAUUUGUGCUAAGUUAUAGCAUUUUAUAGACAACUUGUUGACUAUGAUUUGUCUUGUAGCUUACUCGCUUAUGUUAUUUUACCUACGCUUAGGAUGUUGAAGACUCUACAGAGAUA
This 774-nucleotide ribosomal RNA is filed under the name uncultured Neocallimastigales. RNAcentral describes it as "partial large subunit ribosomal RNA". It matches the Rfam family "Eukaryotic large subunit ribosomal RNA", at positions 24 to 628 of the family's 3401-position model. Lineage: Eukaryota; Fungi; Neocallimastigomycota; Neocallimastigomycetes; Neocallimastigales. The record is from RNAcentral.